Molecule: ribosomal RNA, 561 nt
Filed under: uncultured bacterium
Lineage: Bacteria
Description: bacterial SSU rRNA
Rfam family: Bacterial small subunit ribosomal RNA
Source: RNAcentral
ACGUAGGGUGCGAGCGUUGUCCGGAAUUACUGGGCGUAAAGAGCUCGUAGGUGGUUUGUCGCGUUGUUCGUGAAAUCUCACGGCUUAACUGUGAGCGUGCGGGCGAUACGGGCAGACUUGAGUACUGCAGGGGAGACUGGAAUCCCUGGUGUAGCGGUGGAAUGCGCAGAUAUCAGGAGGAACACCGGUGGCGAAGGCGGGUCUCUGGGCAGUAACUGACGCUGAGGAGCGAAAGCGUGGGGAGCGAACAGGAUUAGAUACCCUGGUAGUCCACGCCGUAAACGGUGGGUACUAGGUGUGGGUUUCCUUCCUUGGGAUCCGUGCCGUAGCUAACGCAUUAAGUACCCCGCCUGGGGAGUACGGCCGCAAGGCUAAAACUCAAAGAAAUUGACGGGGGCCCGCACAAGCGGCGGAGCAUGUGGAUUAAUUCGAUGCAACGCGAAGAACCUUACCUGGGUUUGACAUGCACAGGACGCCGGCAGAGAUGUCGGUUCCCUUGUGGCCUGUGUGCAGGUGGUGCAUGGCUGUCGUCAGCUCGUGUCGUGAGAUGUUGGGUUAAGU